RNAcentral lists this long non-coding RNA (670 nucleotides) under Ananas comosus (pineapple). RNAcentral describes it as "long non-coding RNA (ACOM_LNC024048)". Lineage: Eukaryota; Viridiplantae; Streptophyta; Magnoliopsida; Poales; Bromeliaceae. The record is from RNAcentral.
GGUUCUCGACCAAUUGCCUGAGCAGUUCAAAUUCUUCGAAGCAACGACAUAAAGGAUUUUUUGUCAGAAUUUUCUAUACUUCUCUAAUUUGGUCUCCUCGAUUUUACGAAAAAAAUUUCGGUAUUUUCUUGGAGUUUUCGUUGGAACAAGAGAAUAGAAUUUUCUAUACUUCUCUAAUUUGGUCUCCUCGAUUUUACGAAAAAAAUUUCGGUAUUUUCUUGGAGUUUUCAUUGGAACAAGAGAAUGGUGGGAUUCACCAUAAGGCUCUUGGUUUUUUAUCCGGAGAAGACAUAAGGUGUAAGCCUGUGUAACAACCCAGCCUACUAGCAACAAUAACUCGUUGGGCCCAAACACCGGCCCAAAAUGCUUAAGCCCAGUUAUUAUUAUUAAUGUCUAAGUCUCUAAUAUACCCAAUCACAUCCCUAUUCCUAUCCGAUGUGAGAUUAUUGGGGUAUGACAAACUCCCCCCGUUGAGGCCCUGACGUCCUCGUCAAUCCAAAUACACACACAGCCCAAGAUCACCAGGCGAUGUGAGACGCGCCUCGCUAGCUUUGUCAUCUAGACCCUAGCAUAGCCGAUCACCUUGUCAUACAGACUCCGACAUAGCCUAUCACCUUGUCUUUCAGACCCUGGCUCAGCCAAACCCUGGCUCAGCCAGACUAGCCACACA